GGUGAAUGCUGGCGGCGUGGAUAAGUCAUGCAAGUCAAGGGGGCCCGCAAGGGCAACCGGCAAACGAGGUAGUAACACGUAGGUAGACCCCCCAGAGUCGGGCAUAGCCAGCCGAAAGGUUAGGGUAAUUCCCGACUAGUCCCGAAAGGGUAAAGGUUUUUCGUCUCUGGGAGUUGCCUGCGUAGUAUCAGCUAGUUGGUAGGGUAAUGGCCUACCAAGGCUACGACGCUUAGGGAGCUGAGAGGCUGACCCCCACCGAUGGAACUGCGACACGGUCCAUACUCCUACGGGAGGCUGCAGACGAGAAUAUUCCGCAAUGGGCGAAAGCCUGACGGAGCGACGCCGCGUGAUUGAUGAAGUGCUUCGGUACGUAAAGAUCUUUUAUCGGGGACGAAGUUUAUUGACGGUACCCGAUGAAUAAGGGGCUCCUAACUCUGUGCCAGCAGCCGCGGUAAU
This 456-nucleotide ribosomal RNA is filed under the name uncultured bacterium. RNAcentral describes it as "bacterial SSU rRNA". It matches the Rfam family "Bacterial small subunit ribosomal RNA", at positions 28 to 524 of the family's 1533-position model. The record is from RNAcentral.